This is a long non-coding RNA of Oreochromis aureus, 260 nucleotides long. RefSeq lists it as uncharacterized. NCBI's taxonomy places the organism in Eukaryota, Metazoa, Chordata, Actinopteri, Cichliformes, Cichlidae. The transcript has 3 exons. The record is from RefSeq and is a predicted model, not a curated record.
AUCUUUGCAAAAAGAGACUACAGAAACACUACAAAUUUGGCACGUUUUUGGAUUACUGGCCUGUUCUUCCAACUUGAAAGACAUGGAUGGCAUCAUUAUAAGUGCAACAGUUGUUUUCAUGCAGUGGACCAGAAGUGAACAAACACCUGCAGAACCUCAAACUGCUGAUCGAUCAGACGGGGAAUGGGGAUGCUGAAGAAACAGACAUCCUUCCAGAGGAUUAUAAGACGGCAAUAGUUCACUCAUCACUUAAACAGCAC